GACGAACGCUGGCGGCGUGCUUAACACAUGCAAGUCGAACGGUGAAGCGCCUUCCUUUUUGGUGGGUGUGGAUGAGUGGCGAACGGGUGAGUAACACGUGAGUAACCUGCCCCCUUCUUCUGGAUAACCGCAUGAAAGUGUGGCUAAUACGGGAUAUUCUGGGUCUGUCGCAUGAUGGGUCUGGGAAAGAUAUUGUUUCGGUGGGGGAUGGGCUCGCGGCCUAUCAGCUUGUUGGUGGGGUGAUGGCCUACCAAGGCGGUGACGGGUAGCCGGCCUGAGAGGGUGGACGGUCACACUGGGACUGAGACACGGCCCAGACUCCUACGGGAGGCAGCAGUGGGGAAUAUUGCACAAUGGGAGCAAGCCUGAUGCAGCGACGCCGCGUGAGGGAUGGAGGCCUUCGGGUUGUGAACCUCUUUCGCCAGUGAAGCAGGCCUGCCUCGUUUGUGGGUGGGUUGACGGUAGCUGGAUAAGAAGCGCCGGCUAACUACGUG
This 494-nucleotide ribosomal RNA is filed under the name uncultured bacterium. RNAcentral describes it as "partial 16S ribosomal RNA". It matches the Rfam family "Bacterial small subunit ribosomal RNA", at positions 28 to 507 of the family's 1533-position model. The record is from RNAcentral.